AAAUGAAGAAAGGGCCUAAACCUGGAUUUUAGUGUGAGCGUCAGACUAGACUGGGUCAAACUUGGUCCUUUAAAAUUUCGGGUCGAUCUGGUCGACCUGACCCGCUUCAUAUUUUCCCCCAAAACGGUCGGGUAAUCCCUAAUCUUGAACUCUCUCAAGUCUCACCCUCAAGAGCUCCACCUGAAACCGUUCGUCGCCACCGCCACCAACACCAACGGCGGUGGCUUUCAAUUUCUAGUUGUGUAUUUGUUAAAUCUAUAUGUGUAUUGUGUGUGUGUGUGUGUGUACUUGACAUGAAUCAAGAAAAGGUGCUUGUUUUUAAUUAAAACUGGUAUUUGCUUGACAUGUAUUUGUGAAUUUGAUCUCUUUCGUAGGUUUCCUGCUGCAAUUUUCUGUAUUGCUUUUCCUUAUUCCAUGACUGUCUUUGAAAAUGUGUGCUUGAUGUCUUUUUGUAUGGCUUCAGAUGGGACUAACCUAGACGAAGCAUUUUGGAAGAUGAUUAGGAAGAAGAGGAGGAGGGGAUUGACCAACUUGAUGGUUUAGAAGAUGAGGCUCAUGAAAAAGGUUAACAUGGCGCCGCCCCUAUUUAUUUCUCUCAUUCCCCCCUCUCUAAACUCUUGGAUAUAAUGGAAAAGAAAUCUUGCUUGUGUUGUUUCUUUCCAGUCUUACUAUUCAUAUUUAGGUGUAACUUCCAACGGGAUUAUUACCAUGGCUGAAGCUCUGCCAGGGAAAGAGAGAGAUUUAGAAGACACAACUGUGACAGAUACAGAUAAAAUUAUUUCUACAGUUCUGGUUUCUGAUUUUCUUCUCUUUUGUGCGAUAUUGAAUGAAAAUUAAUUUUUAUUACAGUUACUUGUUUAAAUGUCUUUUAUCUAGUGGAUCUAUGUUGUGACCCAUGUCUUCUUAACAGAAUGCUUCUUCUUUUUUUCGCUAAAGCCUUUUCCUCAUCUUUUUCUAGCCUUUAUUUUUAGACAAGUUGUCUUUUUCAUUCAUUUAUAAGCAAAUAUCUAGCUUAUGUCUGUUUAGGAUUGGUCCAAGUGGGCA
Quercus robur (English oak) is the source of this 1044-nucleotide long non-coding RNA. RefSeq lists it as uncharacterized. Lineage: Eukaryota; Viridiplantae; Streptophyta; Magnoliopsida; Fagales; Fagaceae. The transcript has 3 exons. The record is from RefSeq and is a predicted model, not a curated record.